UCUCAGCAACUUUGCGGAUGACACUAAACUGGGAGGAGUGGUAGAUACACCAGAAGGUAGGGAUAUGAUACAGAGGCACCUAGACAAAUUGGAGACUUGGGCCAAAAGAAAUCUGAUGAGGUUCAACAAGGACAAGUGCAGAGCCCUGCACUUAGGAUGGAAGAAUCCCAUGCACUGCUACAGACUAGGGACCCAGUCACUAAG
Chelonia mydas (Green sea turtle) is the source of this 204-nucleotide long non-coding RNA. RefSeq lists it as uncharacterized. The transcript has 3 exons. The record is from RefSeq and is a predicted model, not a curated record. NCBI's taxonomy places the organism in Eukaryota, Metazoa, Chordata, Testudines, Cheloniidae.